UAGAGCCGUAUGAGGUGAAAGUCUCACGUACGCUUCUCUGAGAAGGGAGUUUGGUUACCUACUGGAGCUUCGAUCUUAU
This is a non-coding RNA of Nicotiana sylvestris (wood tobacco), 79 nucleotides long. NCBI's taxonomy places the organism in Eukaryota, Viridiplantae, Streptophyta, Magnoliopsida, Solanales, Solanaceae. The record is from Rfam.